Molecule: ribosomal RNA, 493 nt
Filed under: uncultured bacterium
Lineage: Bacteria
Description: partial 16S ribosomal RNA
Rfam family: Bacterial small subunit ribosomal RNA
Source: RNAcentral
GACGAACGCUGGCGGCGUGCUUAACACAUGCAAGUCGAACGGUGAAGCGCCUUCCUUUUUGGUGGGUGUGGAUGAGUGGCGAACGGGUGAGUAACACGUGAGUAACCUGCCCCCUUCUUCUGGAUAACCGCAUGAAAGUGUGGCUAAUACGGGAUAUUCUGCGUCUGUCGCAUGAUGGGUCUGGGACAGAUAUUGUUUCGGUGGGGGAUGGCUCGCGGCCUAUCAGCUUGUUGGUGGGGUGAUGGCCUACCAAGGCGGUGACGGGUAGCCGGCCUGAGAGGGUGGACGGUCACACUGGGACUGAGACACGGCCCAGACUCCUACGGGAGGCAGCAGUGGGGAAUAUGGCACAGUGGGCGCAAGCCUGAUGCAGCGACGCCGCGGGAGGGAUGGAGGCCUUCGGGUUGUGAACCUCUUUCGCCAGUGAAGCAGGCCUGCCUCGUUUGUGGGUGGGUUGACGGUAGCUGGAUAAGAAGCGCCGGCUAACUACGUG